GGGGAUGUCGGGCUUCGACACUGGUUUUGUCGAUUGCUUCGCAAGUCGGGGAACUCUGUUACCCUGUUACCAAUCGGAGACAAAUAUAACUGCCAAUUUUAGCAGACAACCGGCAAUGGCUUUGGCUGUUGCCUAACUUCGACAUAAAGUCGGGGCGUCCCGCCGGCUGACUCUCAAUAAGUCGGACGGGGCGUAAAAAUAUUGAGAUAGGAAGCGGUUUUGCUUGAUGGCUGUUUUCCGAACUUUAUUCAAGCUCCCGAAAGAAAAAAUUUGCUGAUUCAUGCUUUCGGCAGAAAUAAAUCAGACUAAACUUGUAGAAGAGCGUUGAUACUAAACCAGUGGACGUGGGUUCAACUCCCACCAUCUCCACUC
RNAcentral lists this transfer-messenger RNA (372 nucleotides) under Minisyncoccia. RNAcentral's name for it is "UBA10122 sp001001185 Standard tmRNA". It matches the Rfam family "transfer-messenger RNA". From Rfam's summary of the family: Bacterial tmRNA, also known as 10Sa RNA or SsrA, is named for its dual tRNA and mRNA-like properties. Its role is to liberate the mRNA from a stalled ribosome. Lineage: Bacteria; Bacillati; Minisyncoccota. The record is from RNAcentral.